CGUUGCGAAAGCGGCGCUAAUACCGAAUGAAGUCCUUUAUGCUUCGGCAUUUUGGAUGAAAGGUGACCUCUCUAUAGAAGUUACUGUUUGAGGAUGAGCCCGCGUACCAUUAGCUUGUUGGUAGGGUAACGGCCUACCAAGGCUGCGAUGGUUAGCUGGUCUGAGAGGAUGAUCAGCCACACUGGAACUGGAACACGGUCCAGACUCCUACGGGAGGCAGCAGUGAGGAAUUUUGCGCAAUGGGGGCAACCCUGACGCAGCAACGCCGCGUGAGUGAUGAAGGCUUUCGGGUCGUAAAGCUCUGUCAAGAGGGAAGAAAUUGCGGCAGGUGAAUAUCCUGUCGUAUUGACGGUACCUCUGAAGGAAGCGCCGGCUAACUCCGUGCCAGCAGCCGCGGUAAUACGGGGGGCGCAAGCGUUAUUCGGAAUUAUUGGGCGUAAAGGGCGCGUAGGCGGUCUGUUAAGUCAGAUGUGAAAGCCCCGGGGCUUAACCUCGGAAGCGCAUUUGAUACUGGCAGACUUGAGUAUGGGAGAGGGAAGUGGAAUUCCUGGUGUAGAGCUGAAAUUUGUAGAUAUCAGGGGGAACACCGGUGCCGAAGGCGACUUCCUGGACCAAUACGGACGCUGAGGCGCGAAGGCAUGGGGAGCAAACAGGAUUAGAUACCCUGGUAGUCCACGCAGUAAACGGUGAUCACUAGGUGUAGCGGGUAUUGACCCCUGCUGUGCCGGAGUUAACGCAUUAAGUGAUCCGCCUGGGGAGUACGGCCGCAAGGUUAAAACUCAAAGGAAUUGACGGGGGCCCGCACAAGCGGUGGAGCAUGUGGUUUAAUUCGACGCAACGCGAAGAACCUUACCUGGGUUUGACAUCCCGGGAAUCCGGAUGAAAUUUCGGAGUGCCCUUCGGGGAGCCUGGAGACAGGUGCUGCAUGGCUGUCGUCAGCUCGUGUCGUGAGAUGUUGGGUUAAGUCCCGCAACGAGCGCAACCCCUAUCUUUAGUUACCAGCGAUUCGGUCGGGAACUCUAAAGAUACUGCCCCGGUUAACGGGGAGCAAGGUGGGGAUGACGUCAAGUCCUCAUGGCCUUUAUGCCCAGGGCUACACACGUGCUACAAUGGGCGGCACAAAGGGAAGCGAUCUCGCGAGGGUGAGCCAAUCCCAAAAAGCCGUUCUUAAGUUCGGAUUGGAGUCUGCAACUCGACUCCAUGAAGUUGGAAUCGCUAGUAAUCGCGGAUCAGCACGCCGCGCUGAAUACGUUCCCGGGCAUUGUACACACCGCCCGUCACACCAUGAGAGUUGGUUGUACCAGAAGUCGUUGGACCAACCCGCAAGGGGGGCAGGCGCAUAAGGUAU
This 1348-nucleotide ribosomal RNA is filed under the name uncultured organism. RNAcentral's name for it is "bacterial SSU rRNA". It matches the Rfam family "Bacterial small subunit ribosomal RNA", at positions 147 to 1465 of the family's 1533-position model. The record is from RNAcentral.